Long non-coding RNA from Nanorana parkeri, 91 nucleotides. RefSeq lists it as uncharacterized. The record is from RefSeq and is a predicted model, not a curated record. The transcript is spliced from 3 exons. NCBI's taxonomy places the organism in Eukaryota, Metazoa, Chordata, Amphibia, Anura, Dicroglossidae.
CUGCAUACAGCCUCCAAUCUGUUGUGGGCCCCUGUAAAUUAUGGGGCCCAGGGCAGUUGCCUCUUUUGCCCUGUGGUAAAGACAGCCCUGG